Long non-coding RNA from Herpailurus yagouaroundi (jaguarundi), 2839 nucleotides. RefSeq lists it as uncharacterized. The record is from RefSeq and is a predicted model, not a curated record. The transcript is spliced from 5 exons. NCBI's taxonomy places the organism in Eukaryota, Metazoa, Chordata, Mammalia, Carnivora, Felidae.
GCCCGAUGUGGGGCUCGAACCCACAAACUGCGAGAUCACGACCUGAGCCGAAGUCAGAGGCUCGACACACUGAGCCACCCAGGCGCCCCUGUUUUUCAAACUGGACUGAAACUGCCCUCCUCGGAUUUCCUCUUGCAGGGCUCCGCAUCCGCAGUCCUUUUCUCUCGCUGGGAGCGGGUGUCACUUACCUCACGCACUUGCCCACCCAGGACAUCUGACCCAGCUUGUAUAACUGGAGCCAAAGGCCUUCCUGGCACAGAAAGGGGCCCAAAAGCUGGUUCUUAGAUACGCUCCAGCCCGGCCUGUUUAUCUCGUGAGCUUCAGAAGGCAAGCCGCCCCCGCCCGCCAUGGCUCCUUCCCCGUGUGAUUACAUCUUUCCUUGAUCCCACUGACAGAGCAUUGCUGUUGAGUUGGUGUGGAUGCUGCUGAAUGCUCACUGUCACCUUCUGUAUUCAUCUUGGGGAGCAGUAACCCAGCCUGUCGGGGCCUCCUGCACAGACCACCCUUUGAAUGGUGUUCUGAGCCUUCAGUGACGCUGGCAGCGAUGAUGCAUUACAAAACCAAACAAAUUAUUCCUCGGGACAGACGACCCGGGGGCAAAUCAACCACCACAACAGAAAAGACAAGCUUUCAAACCAAGGAGAGAAGACAAGAUUGAAACUGCCUCGAACCAUCAGCGGCUUCUACCUCUCAGUGUCCCCCAGUGCCUGGCAUUUCCACAUUUCUCGUCAUGUUCCUUCUCUUUCCAAAGUUCUUCUUCAGGAGGACUUUCAAACUGUUCCUCGGAUCAUCAGGGUACUUUGAAUGCUUUGUCACAACCCGCCCUGUGUUAUGAGAUGCUCCAUUGACACCUAUGAUUUCAAUGGCACUGAUUCCGAAAUCCAUAUUUCUACCUUGACUUUUAUCCCAAGUACUCGUCCUGCGUCUCCAAAUGCCUACUGGAAAUUCCCACUGGAUAUUCAUCAGUGACGUUAUCGUAGGACUAAAAUCGAACUCAUUAAACUUUUCGAUGCCACAGCCUGGCACAGCAGAAGAUGGGCGGAGUUCUGAAUCUUGAGAGACGAGUUCAGGCCCACACUUAACCUUUCUGAUUCAAGUCAGGCUUCCUGGAAGUUACGGAAAAUGUACUUUGGCUGAUUCAGACAGAAAAGGGAUGUGAGGAGAGACAUGUGGCAGCUUUCCCAACAGGCCGGAAGGAGGAGCCAGCCUGGGAAAGGCAGCGGGCAGUGUGGCGUUCCAGGAGCUAGCAGGUCUUAGGGAUGCGAACAGGAGCUGGAUACGGGACAGCCCCUGUCCACUCUGCCUAGCCUCGAUUUCCUUGAGCCAAGAAAAAUGGGGAUAAUUUGACCACCCACGUCAUGGGAUUGUAAGGAAGAUGGAGCUGGUAUUCCGGAAGAUUCUUUGUAGACCAUGAGCCCCUCCGCAGGUGUUAAGGUUGUUUAUACUACCAAGUGAGGUUUUUCCUUCCCAUCUCUGUUCUGUUCCUGACCCUUUUACCUCUGUGCCCACUCAGUGUCCCUCCUCCCACCCCCUCCGUCCGUGGGUGCCCCCUCCCUCUCAGCACCCCUUUUCCCACCAGCUCCUCCAGAUCCAAGCCCCAGGGUUUCUUCAUCCUUCCUUCACCUUUCUCCCACCUUUCUCUUCCCCUCACCAUUGGCACCUUAGAAUUCAGGGGCAACAAAGGAAACCAGCCUCUCCCAAGCUUGAUUACACAUUGGGCUUGCCUGGGGCAGACCUCCCAGGCCUCGUUCUUACACAAGCUUCUCAGGAGAGCGCGGCAGGAACGGGCCCGCCCCCAGGAAUCUACAAACCAAGUUUCUCGCCCAGAGCGCUAGCCCCCAGAAGAGGGUUCCGAAUUGAAGCAGGUUUGGAAAACGCCGCAUCCGUCUCCCUCUAAAAGAGUCACAAUUCAAGAGGUCCUGCAGGUAAGAUACCUGUGAAACAGUGCAAAUGUCUAAGACUACGAGGUUGCGAAGCUGUCUCGUCCUGUGAUCCUGUGAUUUAUACUAAGAGAUACAGAUUUGGUCUUGUUUCUGGCACAGAAGUUCCCCAAGCCUUGGAAUUUCCUAAAUGCUGAGAGCAACAAAGGUGUCGUUUGUUAUGUUAAGGAGGUGACUUUCGGACCCCACCUAAAGUUAGGGCUGGUUGGCAGCCUUACCCCCACCCCACCCCUGGCCACCACCGCUUUGGGUGAAGGGCCAGGAGCUGGAGAUUGAGUUCAAUCACCAAUGGCCAAUGAGUUAAUCAGCUGUGCCUGUGCAAUGAGGCCUCCAUGGAAACCCAAAAGGGGGUGAUACAGAGGGCUCCUGGGUUGGUGAACAAAUGGAGGCUGGGGGAGAGUGGUGCACUCAGAGAGCGCGGAGGCUCCUGGCCUGUGCGUCUCCUCCCUCUGGCCCGUCCUGAGUCCUAUCCUUGUAUAAUAAAUUGGUCAUCUAGUAAGUAAAAUGAUUCUGAGUUCUGUGAGCCCCUCAAGCAAAUUAACCAAACCUGAGGAGGGGGUCACGGAGCCCUCAAUUACAGCAGGCAGUCAGAAGUGUGGGUGACAACCUGGGCUUGUGACUGUCGUCGGAAGGAGGGGUGAGUGGGGGAUGUGGGGAGCAGUCUUGUAGGACUGAGCUCUUACUCUGACUCCGAUGCUAUCGGGAUAGGAAGUGUCAGAACUGAUGAGUUGGAGGGCCUGCAGCUCGAGUCCCAAGAAUUGCUUGGUGUGGCGACGCUCCCCCCAGUGGAACCUAUUUAGUCCCAUGACGUCUAUUAAAAUUCUGCAAGGAGAAUAUUCUGAGAAACACAUACAUUGGGAAACCGUGGCCUAUAGAAUAAAUUUGCCAAGGUUUUUGAC